AACGCUAGCUACAGGCUUAACACAUGCAAGUCGAGGGGCAGCAUGAACUUAGCUUGCUAAGUUUGAUGGCGACCGGCGCACGGGUGCGUAACGCGUAUCCAACUUGCCCCCGUCUCGGGGAUAGUCUCGCGAAAGCGAGUUUAAUACCCGGCGUCGCUGGAAAGUCGCAUGUUUUUCCAGCGGAAGGAUUUCCGGACGGGGAUAGGGAUGCGUCCCAUUAGGUAGUAGGCGGGGUAACGGCCCACCUAGCCGUCGAUGGGUAGGGGUUCUGAGAGGAAGGUCCCCCACAUUGGAACUGAGACACGGUCCAAACUCCUACGGGAGGCAGCAGUGAGGAAUAUUGGUCAAUGGGCGAUAGCCUGAACCAGCCAAGUAGCGUGCAGGAUGACGGCCCUAUGGGUUGUAAACUGCUUUUGCAGGAGGAUAAAGUGCCCCACGUGUUGGGGUUUUGCAGGUAUCCUGCGAAUAAGGACCGGCUAAUUCCGUGCCAGCAGCCGCGGUAAUACGGAAGGUCCGGGCGUUAUCCGGAUUUAUUGGGUUUAAAGGGAGCGUAGGCGGGCGUUCAAGUCAGCUGUGAAAAGCUGCCGCUCAACGGCAGUCGUGCAGUUGAAACUGGAUGUCUUGAGUUCGCACGAGGUCAGUGGAAUUUGUGGUGUAGCGGUGAAAUGCUUAGAUAUCACGAAGAACUCCGAUUG
Molecule: ribosomal RNA, 695 nt
Filed under: uncultured bacterium
Lineage: Bacteria
Description: bacterial SSU rRNA
Rfam family: Bacterial small subunit ribosomal RNA
Source: RNAcentral